Varanus komodoensis (Komodo dragon) is the source of this 522-nucleotide long non-coding RNA. RefSeq lists it as uncharacterized. Lineage: Eukaryota; Metazoa; Chordata; Lepidosauria; Squamata; Varanidae. The transcript has 2 exons. The record is from RefSeq and is a predicted model, not a curated record.
CCCCCUGCUGCACAGGCCUUGAGGUUCACCACCAUGGCUGGCUGAGUGCCGACGACGGAGUCCUCAAUCAGGUCGCGGAUGGUGGACAGGUCCACUCUCCCGUCGUUCUCCUGGGUCAGAGCAGCACGGUUCUGCGUGCCAUCGGCGUUGCCUCCGCAGGUGCCCUCUGGACUCGGCACCCUCUGUACAAAUGUGAGAUGUGGUUUCGAUUUGCAUGGCCAGGGGCCAGCCUGGCUUCCAGCACACAGAAAAGGCCCAGUGGUGUUUCUCAGCACCUUGAUCGGCUGGCCGGCUGGCCACCUUUAGCACUGUACCAUGGACUCCGGGAGGGAGCGGUGGAAAAUCCCGCAUGUCACCCCAGGGCACAGUCCUCGAGAAGGAAGAGCCUCCGCGUCCCCCCACAAUCAAGCUUAAUAUAACGGCUGAAAGUGCUUUGAAAGUGAUUUUAGUUUCUGCAUCCACACUCUUUGCCAGGGAGAACUGCAUUUAUUUUGAUUAAUGAAAUAAAGGGCUUAAUUGUGA